GGCUCUGUCAAUCAUAGCCAGGAGAGGUGUGGCUAGGGCUGCAUAAACAGAAACAACGUGAUUUAACUUCUAAAUGACAGUGAAUUGAGAAGUGAAAUUGCAGGGGAAUGAUUUAUACACUAAAACUGGGGGUUGGGGAAACUAGCCUUUCUCUUGGAAUGUCCAAGGUUAUUGUGUCUUGGGAUAAGAAUAAAGGACCCUGGGGAUAAUUAGCUUAACCUAAUUUACAUUCUAUCCCAGUUCAUACACUUAUUGGUAUGAAUAAUUUGUAAAUACAUUUCAUGUGUGUGCUGUGUUUUUUUAAUAAAAGCUGGAGCUCAGAAAUGGUGAUCCUACAAGUUGCC
This is a non-coding RNA of Pelobates cultripes (western spadefoot toad), 344 nucleotides long. NCBI's taxonomy places the organism in Eukaryota, Metazoa, Chordata, Amphibia, Anura, Pelobatidae. The record is from the annotation of a GenBank genome assembly.